AGUGAACGCUGGCGGUAGACCUAACACAUGCAAGUCGAACGGCAGCACAGUAAGAGCUUGCUCUUACGGGUGGCGAGUGGCGGACGGGUGAGGAAUACAUCGGAAUCUACUUUUUCGUGGGGGAUAACGUAGGGAAACUUACGCUAAUACCGCAUACGACCUACGGGUGAAAGCAGGGGAUCUUCGGACCUUGCGCGAUUGAAUGAGCCGAUGUCGGAUUAGCUAGUUGGCGGGGUAAAGGCCCACCAAGGCGACGAUCCGUAGCUGGUCUGAGAGGAUGAUCAGCCACACUGGAACUGAGACACGGUCCAGACUCCUGCGGGAGGCAGCAGUGGGGAAUAUUGGACAAUGGGCGCAAGCCUGAUCCAGCCAUACCGCGUGGGUGAAGAAGGCCUUCGGGUUGUAAAGCCCUUUUGUUGGGAAAGAAAAGCAGCAGGUUAAUACCCCGCUGUUCUGACGGUACCCAAAGAAUAAGCACCGGCUAACUUCGUG
This 492-nucleotide ribosomal RNA is filed under the name uncultured bacterium. RNAcentral's name for it is "partial 16S ribosomal RNA". It matches the Rfam family "Bacterial small subunit ribosomal RNA", at positions 29 to 507 of the family's 1533-position model. The record is from RNAcentral.